Molecule: long non-coding RNA, 575 nt
Organism: Myotis brandtii (Brandt's bat)
Lineage: Eukaryota; Metazoa; Chordata; Mammalia; Chiroptera; Vespertilionidae
Exons: 3
Source: RefSeq, a predicted model, not a curated record
CUUGCUCGUUUGUUGAUCUGUCCACAACAGAAACAAACAAAAAACCACCUUUAAGAUGGGAACUUGGAAGGUUAAGGCUGCCUUCCCACAUCUUAAACAGCCUCAGCCUCCUGAUCUUAAACCAGAUUUCAUCUACUGGACAAGACAGCUACUCUUGAACGUCAUUGGAAAGGAGCUUAUCAGGGUCCACACCUCUAGCGCUGUCAGACCCCAGCGUGUACACCUGUUCUACCCGGGACGUGCUCCUGCAGCUGUGACGCUCUCGCAGGGCUGUGAGUUUUCCGGGGGCUGGCACUAGCUCCAGUCCCCAGGUCUCAGCCCCGAUGCCUGGGAUCCGGCUCUCUCCAGAACGGGCACUCCUGCAGUGUUGCUCAAGGAUUACAGACCUGCGGUUGGCCUCCUGGUUGCACAUUCAAAUCACCAAGGGAGCUUUUAAGAAAUACCACCUCUUAGACUCACCUAAAGCAAUUAAAUCAGCAUCUCUGGAGGGUGUGGCUGUAUGUUGUUAUUUCUUAAAAGCUCAGGUGUGGCCCUAACCAGUUUUGCUCAGUGGAUAGAGCAUCGGCCUGUGGACU